Molecule: unclassified non-coding RNA, 253 nt
Filed under: uncultured Caryophanales bacterium
Lineage: Bacteria; Bacillati; Bacillota; Bacilli; Caryophanales
Description: uncultured Bacillales bacterium contains 16S-23S intergenic spacer region
Rfam family: Bacterial small subunit ribosomal RNA
Source: RNAcentral
UACGUAGGUGGCAAGCGUUAUCCGGAAUUAUUGGGCGUAAAGCGCGCGCAGGCGGUCUGUCAAGUCGGAUGUGAAAUCCCCGGGCUCAACCGGGGAGGGCCAUUGGAAACUGGGUGGCUUGAGUAUAGGAGAGAAGAGUGGAAUUCCACGUGUAGCGGUGAAAUGCGUAGAGAUGUGGAGGAACACCAGUGGCGAAGACGACUCUUUGGCCUAUAACUGACGCUGAGGCGCGAAAGCGUGGGGAGCAAACAGG